RNAcentral lists this ribosomal RNA (811 nucleotides) under uncultured bacterium. RNAcentral describes it as "bacterial SSU rRNA". It matches the Rfam family "Bacterial small subunit ribosomal RNA", at positions 59 to 880 of the family's 1533-position model. The record is from RNAcentral.
CAGUCGAACGGACUCAUAUUGAAACCUAGUGAUUUAUGAGUUAGUGGCGGACCGGUGAGUAACGCGUGGAUAACCUGCCGUAUACCGGGGGAUAACACUUGGAAAUAGGUGCUAAUACCGCAUAAGCGCACGGCUCCGCAUGGGGCAGUGUGAAAAACUCCGGUGGUAUACGAUGGAUCCGCGUCUGAUUAGCUAGUUGGCGGGGUAACGGCCCACCAAGGCAGCGAUCAGUAGCCGGCCUGAGAGGGUGGACGGCCACAUUGGGACUGAGACACGGCCCAAACUCCUACGGGAGGCAGCAGUGGGGAAUAUUGCACAAUGGGGGGAACCCUGAUGCAGCGACGCCGCGUGAGUGAAGAAGUAUCUCGGUACGUAAAGCUCUAUCAGCAGGGAAGAAAAUGACGGUACCUGACUAAGAAGCCCCGGCUAACUACGUGCCAGCAGCCGCGGUAAUACGUAGGGGGCAAGCGUUAUCCGGAUUUACUGGGUGUAAAGGGAGCGUAGACGGCAGCACAAGUCUGGAGUGAAAUCCCGGGGCUUAACCCCGGAACUGCUUUGGAAACUGUGCGGCUGGAGUGCAGGAGGGGUAAGCGGAAUUCCUAGUGUAGCGGUGAAAUGCGUAGAUAUUAGGAGGAACACCGGUGGCGAAGGCGGCUUACUGGACUGUAACUGACGUUGAGGCUCGAAAGCGUGGGGAGCAAACAGGAUUAGAUACCCUGGUAGUCCACGCCGUAAACGAUGAUUACUAGGUGUCGGGGGAUCAAGGUCCUCCGGUGCCGGCGCAAACGCAUUAAGUAAUCCACCUGGGGAG